RNAcentral lists this long non-coding RNA (480 nucleotides) under Paramuricea clavata. Lineage: Eukaryota; Metazoa; Cnidaria; Anthozoa; Malacalcyonacea; Plexauridae. The record is from RNAcentral.
GUCUCAUUCAAAAGAACUCUUAAAAUUAUAUAUUAAACUCUAUUACCGAUUUGUCAUAUCUUGCUUAGUUCUCGAAAUAUUUAGACCGAAAUUAAUGAGCUUUCCGCCAUCUUGGAAAAAUGCUUUACCUCAUUAACUAUGGUUUUGAUAACGUCAGGAGUUGGGUUAACCAUAUAAAACUACUCUAAAAUGACCGAGUAACAAUUCAAAAUUGUUUGAAAUGUUUUUAAUCAUUUCUAAAUUUCAGACAGCAACCAGAAAUGAAGUUUUGGACCCAUAUUGAUCGCUUACUCUCAAGAUAAAAAAUUAGCGUGACCCCUCUCUUGACGUAACAUGCAUAUCCUCAAUAAUCCAAGAUGGCGAACAGCUCACUUUUUCAGUCGAAAUAUUUUGAAAACUAAGCAAGAUAUAAACAAUCUGUAAUAGAGUUUAAUAUAUAGUUUUAAGAGUUCUUUCAAAUGAACUAAACUAAUUUUUUAU